UCCCUGGUGGCUUAGUGGUAAAGAAUCUGCCUGCCAACUCAGGAGACACGGGUUUGAUUCCUGAUCUGGGAA
Molecule: transfer RNA, 72 nt
Filed under: Ovis aries (sheep)
Lineage: Eukaryota; Metazoa; Chordata; Mammalia; Artiodactyla; Bovidae
Rfam family: tRNA
About the family: Transfer RNA (tRNA) molecules are approximately 80 nucleotides in length.
Source: Rfam by way of RNAcentral